Long non-coding RNA from Brassica napus (rape), 1183 nucleotides. RefSeq lists it as uncharacterized. Lineage: Eukaryota; Viridiplantae; Streptophyta; Magnoliopsida; Brassicales; Brassicaceae. The transcript is spliced from 3 exons. The record is from RefSeq and is a predicted model, not a curated record.
UCUCAUUUUGUAUGAUACACUUCUCUAAUUAUUUUUCUUAUUAUCAUCCAAUGUUAUUGUUGUUAUUCAAUAACGUUAUAUACAUCAUAUAUUAUGCUCAAAGAUGGAUAUAUAAUAUUUAGAUAUCAAUUAUUAAAAUGAAAGCAUAUAUCAUACAUCAUAUUAUAUCAUGUCAUCUAACAUUAUAUAAUUCUAAAUAUUUACAAAAUCAAAUUUAAUUAAAAAACACUUUAGCAAAUCAUUUGUUAAAACAAAAUUAUAUAUAUUUACGUUAAAUUAUUUUUUAUUAUAUUAAUAUAUUAGAAGUUGGGGAAUUGCCACUAAUACCACUUUCCUAAUACCACUUUUCAACUUUACACUUUUCAAAUUUACCAUUAAAAUUUUAAUGGCUAAAGUACCAUUAUACCCCUCAUUUCAUUAAUUUAACCUAGAUCUAUUCUUCUCCAAAUGUUUGUCACGAGAUGAAAAUGAGAUCAAAUUGAGACGAGCUCCAACGAGAUCUCCGGCAAACUCGGCGAUCUCCGGCGAAUUCGGCGAUCUCCGGCGAACUUGGCGAUCUCCGGCGAACUCGACGAUCUCCGACGAACUCGACCGGAUUGGGAGAGCGUGGCGGCGAGUAGAUAUCCCGCCGUUCUUCCGCCGGCAUUAUGUAGUCGUAGUAACCCUCCGAUGCUAAAUCGGUCACGUUCGUCACGAAUCGCAUGCCGAGAAGUUCUCCGGCAAAGCUGACAGACUCGACAAGCUUAGACGAACGAGACGAUCUCUCUCCCAACGCCUAAGAAACACUAACAAAGAGAAUUACAAAUGUGUGUUGUCAGCUUUUGGAUUUAAAGGAUGUUGUGGAGAAUAUGUGUGGUGAUAUGCAUAUCUAAGUAUCUCACUUCCUUAAGAUUUUGAAAAUUUACGAGGUUGGUGAGCUGUUUGAAGAGGCAAGAGAGACUCUGAAGAAGAAUGUGGUUUGUGCUAUCAAAGAAUUACGUAUUUAUAACGCUUUAUAAAAGUUGCAGAGUUGGCUUCUUAGUACAUUCUUCUCUCUCAUCUUAUUUAGACAUCUCUUAUACUAAAAUAAUUGUAUCUCUCUUUUAGUAGUUGCAUAGUUGAAGAUAUUAGUUGGACAUGUAAGUGAGUUUGGUUUCAAUUGUUUCUUUUAUAGAAGAGUGAGAUAUGGAGAAGCCUUGAUGUU